CGGUGUUUAACUGGCGUGAUGUGGGACGUCCUACCGGUGGGCUUAGCCUCGCGAGGGGCGGCCCAACUAAUAUCCCGUCGCGGUGCUCUUUACUGAGUGUCGAGUCGGGCCGGUACGUUUACUUUGAACAAAUUAGAGUGCUUAAAGCAGGCUAUCCUCGCCUGAAUACUGCGUGCAUGGAAUAAUGGAAUAGGACCUCGGUUCUAUUUUGUUGGUUUUCGGAACCCCGAGGUAAUGAUUAAUAGGGACAGAUGGGGGCAUUCGUAUUGCGACGUUAGAGGUGAAAUUCUUGGAUCGUCGCAAGACGGACAGAAGCGAAAGCAUUUGCCAAAAAUGUUUUCAUUAAUCAAGAACGAAAGUUAGAGGUUCGAAGGCGAUCAGAUACCGCCCUAGUUCUAACCAUAAACGAUGCCAGCUAGCGAUCCGCCGAAGUUCCUCCGAUGACUCGGCGGGCAGCUUCCGGGAAACCAAAGCUUUUGGGUUCCGGGGGAAGUAUGGUUGCAAAGCUGAAACUUAAAGGAAUUGACGGAAGGGCACCACCAGGAGUGGAGCCUGCGGCUUAAUUUGACUCAACACGGGAAACCUCACCAGGCCCAGACACCGGAAGGAUUGACAGAUUGAUAGCUCUUUCUUGAUUCGGUGGGGUGGUGGUGCAUGGCCGUUCUUAGUUGGUGGAGCGAUUUGUCUGGUUAAUUCCGAUAACGAACGAGACUCUAGCCUGCUAAAUAGGCGUACCUUAUGGUAUCGCGAAGGCCCCCGGCUUCGGCCGGUGGGUUUUUACUACCAACGUACAAACAAAUCUUCUAGAGGGACAGGCGG
RNAcentral lists this ribosomal RNA (819 nucleotides) under uncultured eukaryote. RNAcentral describes it as "SSU rRNA". It matches the Rfam family "Eukaryotic small subunit ribosomal RNA", at positions 629 to 1426 of the family's 1831-position model. The record is from RNAcentral.